RNAcentral lists this transfer RNA (77 nucleotides) under Sodalis sp. Fle. Its description in RNAcentral is "tRNA-Arg". It matches the Rfam family "tRNA". Rfam says of the family: Transfer RNA (tRNA) molecules are approximately 80 nucleotides in length. Their secondary structure includes four short double-helical elements and three loops (D, anti-codon, and T loops). Further hydrogen bonds mediate the characteristic L-shaped molecular structure. tRNAs have two regions of fundamental functional importance: the anti-codon, which is responsible for specific mRNA codon recognition, and the 3' end, to which the tRNAs corresponding amino acid is attached (by aminoacyl-tRNA synthetases). tRNAs cope with the degeneracy of the genetic code in two manners: having more than one tRNA (with a specific anti-codon) for a particular amino acid; and 'wobble' base-pairing, i.e. permitting non-standard base-pairing at the 3rd anti-codon position. The record is from RNAcentral. Lineage: Bacteria; Pseudomonadati; Pseudomonadota; Gammaproteobacteria; Enterobacterales; Bruguierivoracaceae.
GCGCCCGUAGCUCAGCUGGAUAGAGCGCUGCCCUCCGGAGGCAGAAGUGUCAGGUUCAAAUCCUGUCGGGCGCACCA